UAGAAUAUAGUGUAGCACAGGUAGCACGAAGAUUUUUGAAUUCUUAAGGGUGGGUUCGAUUCCUACAAUUCUAG
This 74-nucleotide transfer RNA is filed under the name Pipistrellus abramus. Its description in RNAcentral is "tRNA-Gln". It matches the Rfam family "tRNA". Rfam says of the family: Transfer RNA (tRNA) molecules are approximately 80 nucleotides in length. Their secondary structure includes four short double-helical elements and three loops (D, anti-codon, and T loops). Lineage: Eukaryota; Metazoa; Chordata; Mammalia; Chiroptera; Vespertilionidae. The record is from RNAcentral.